Long non-coding RNA from Dreissena polymorpha, 606 nucleotides. RefSeq lists it as uncharacterized. The transcript has 5 exons. Lineage: Eukaryota; Metazoa; Mollusca; Bivalvia; Myida; Dreissenidae. The record is from RefSeq and is a predicted model, not a curated record.
CGAACAACCAGUUGUCCCCCAUUCAGGUUUUCCAAAUGUUAUUGGUGUCAUAGACUGCACCCAUGUGAAAGUUCUGGCACCAAGAGAAUAUGAGGCUGACUACGUAAAUCGCAAAGGCUACCAUUCACUCAAUGUACAGAUGGUGUGCGAUUCUGGCUAUCGUUUUCUGAACGUGGUGGCAAAGUGGCAAGGAAGUGUGCAUGAUGCCAGGAUAUUUAGAAAUUCCUUACUUUGAACUCUUGAUGGAUGUAUCUUGGGUGACAGUGGGUACCCCAGUAGACGUUAUCUGAUGACCCCUUACUUACAAACAAGGAACAGGGCACAGGAAAGAUACAACCGAUCACUACUGAGGACCAGGGUUAUUGUGGAGCAGGCAUUUGACGUUUUGAAACGUCGCUUUGCUUGCUUGGCGUAUGGCCUGCGAUGCCACCCUGGAAGAUGCUGUAGCAUUAUCAUUGCUACUGUAUUCUUACACAAUUAUGGACUUGACGGUGGUGACAUCUUGGAACCCAAUCAGGAUAUGGAUGUAAAUCAACCCCCCAACAUUGCUCAUCAAGAAAACAACAAUGGAAUUCAAUACAGGGAUAUAUUUGCUGAACGUUAUUU